GUCGUCGACUUACCUCUAUUCGUUCUCGUGGACGUUGAAGAUGUCGUUAGGAUUACGCUAGUGGGGUAUUUUCAUUCGUAAAUUGUGAAUGUAGUUACACUUCUUCUAGUAUAUCACACGGUAACCUAUACUUGAGUAUUUGAUCGUUUCCGUGAAGACAAAGCUCUGUUGUUGGUUUUUCGAACUGGUGUAAGGCUACUUACUAAACACUGUCCUACCGUUGGAGCAACUAUUUGACCAGUUAGAGUCAAACGAGGUGGUCGAAUCUGAAAAAAUACCGGUGAUGUGCAACCAGCCUAUCUUAGGGAAACAUUUGGCACGGUACAGGAGGUACUGGUUCUUAUACUGACUGUAGUUUCAACAACCAACGAAAUAGAUUAAGGAGGUUUCUCUUAUAGAAAC
RNAcentral lists this ribosomal RNA (402 nucleotides) under Triticum aestivum (bread wheat). Its description in RNAcentral is "partial small subunit ribosomal RNA". Lineage: Eukaryota; Viridiplantae; Streptophyta; Magnoliopsida; Poales; Poaceae. The record is from RNAcentral.